This 465-nucleotide ribosomal RNA is filed under the name uncultured bacterium. RNAcentral's name for it is "partial 16S ribosomal RNA". It matches the Rfam family "Bacterial small subunit ribosomal RNA", at positions 338 to 795 of the family's 1533-position model. The record is from RNAcentral.
UCUACGGGAGGCUGCAGUAGGGAAUCUUCCACAAUGGGCGAAAGCCUGAUGGAGCAACGCCGCGUGGGUGAAGAAGGUCUUCGGAUCGUAAAACCCUGUUGUUAGAGAAGAACGUGCGUGAGAGUAACUGUUCACGUUUCGACGGUAUCUAACCAGAAAGCCACGGCUAACUACGUGCCAGCAGCGGCGGUAAUACGUAGGUGGCAAGCGUUAUCCGGGUGUAUUGGGCGUAAAGGGAACGCAUGCGGUCUUUUAAGUCUGAUGUGACAGCCUUCGGCUUAACCGGAGUAGUGCAUUGGAAACUGGGAGACUUGACUGCAGAAGAGGAGAGUGGAACUCCAUGUGUCGCUGUGACAUGCGUAGAUAUAUGGAAGAACACCAGUGGCGAAAGCGGCUCUCUGGUCUGUAACUGACGCUGAGGUUCGAAAGCGUGGGUAGCAAACAGGAUUAGAUACCCCUGUAGUC